GACGAACGCUGGCGGCGUGCUUAACACAUGCAAGUCGAACGGAAAGGCCCUGCUUGCAGGGUGCUCGAGGGGCGCACGGGUGUGUAACACGUGGGUGAUCUGCCCCUUACGUUGGGAUAAGCCUGGGAAACUGGGUCUAAUACUGGAGAGGACCAUGCUGAAGGGGGUGUGGGGGAAAGAUUUUUUCGGCAAGGGAUGAUCUUGCGGCCUAUCAGCUUGUUGGUGGGGUGAUGGUCUACGAAGGCGUCGACGGGUAGCCGGCCUGCGCAGGUGGACGGCGACAGUGGGAAGGGGAUACGGCGAAGACUCCUACGGGAAGCAGCGGUAGGGGAUGUUACACUGUGGGCGCAAGCCCGAGGCAGCGACGCCGCGGGGGGGAUGGCGACCUUCGGGUUUUAGGCUCCAAACGGUCUUGACGAAGCCUCUGCUGGAGUGACGGUAGUGGUAGAAGAAGCACCGGCUAACUACGUG
Molecule: ribosomal RNA, 471 nt
Filed under: uncultured bacterium
Lineage: Bacteria
Description: partial 16S ribosomal RNA
Rfam family: Bacterial small subunit ribosomal RNA
Source: RNAcentral